UGGGGAAUAUUGGACAAUGGGCGCAAGCCUGCUCCAGCCAUGCCGCGUGAGUGAUGAAGGCCCUAGGGUUGUAAAGCUCUUUCACCGGUGAAGAUAAUGACGGUAACCGGAGAAGAAGCCCCGGCUAACUUCGUGCCAGCAGCCGUGGUAAUACGAAGGGGGCUAGCGUUGUUCGGAUUUACUGGGCGUAAAGCGCACGUAGGCGGAUUGGUCAGUUAGGGGUGAAAUCCCAGGGCUUAACCCUGGAACUGCCUUUAAUACUGCCAGUCUUGAGUGGGGAAGAGGUGAGUGGAAUUGCGAGUGUAGAGGUGAAAUUCGUAGAUAUUCGCAGGAACACCAGUGGCGAAGGCGGCUCACUGGUCCAUUACUGACGCUGAGGUGCGAAAGCGUGGGGAGCAAACAGG
RNAcentral lists this ribosomal RNA (404 nucleotides) under uncultured bacterium. Its description in RNAcentral is "bacterial SSU rRNA". It matches the Rfam family "Bacterial small subunit ribosomal RNA", at positions 355 to 776 of the family's 1533-position model. The record is from RNAcentral.